GCAGCUAUCUACUAACUGGUUAGGUAAUAUGCCUCUCAAGCAUAAAAUACGGGUUCGAGUCCCGUUAGCUGUA
RNAcentral lists this transfer RNA (73 nucleotides) under Lachnospira pectinoschiza. RNAcentral's name for it is "tRNA-Glu". It matches the Rfam family "tRNA". Rfam says of the family: Transfer RNA (tRNA) molecules are approximately 80 nucleotides in length. Their secondary structure includes four short double-helical elements and three loops (D, anti-codon, and T loops). Further hydrogen bonds mediate the characteristic L-shaped molecular structure. tRNAs have two regions of fundamental functional importance: the anti-codon, which is responsible for specific mRNA codon recognition, and the 3' end, to which the tRNAs corresponding amino acid is attached (by aminoacyl-tRNA synthetases). tRNAs cope with the degeneracy of the genetic code in two manners: having more than one tRNA (with a specific anti-codon) for a particular amino acid; and 'wobble' base-pairing, i.e. permitting non-standard base-pairing at the 3rd anti-codon position. RNAcentral also lists the same sequence under 3 other names. The record is from RNAcentral. Lineage: Bacteria; Bacillati; Bacillota; Clostridia; Lachnospirales; Lachnospiraceae.